UAUUUUGCAGAUUUAUGCCGUCUCAAUUACCAUCCGUAUUGUGCUAGGAUUCAUGCUUAUUGCAUUGAUAUGGAAAUUUGAUUUCUCCCCUUUCAUGGUUUUGAUCAUUGCAAUCCUUAAUGAUGGUACAAUCAUGACUAUUUCAAAGGAUCGAGUGAAGCCAUCUCCAU
Molecule: long non-coding RNA, 170 nt
Organism: Asparagus officinalis (garden asparagus)
Lineage: Eukaryota; Viridiplantae; Streptophyta; Magnoliopsida; Asparagales; Asparagaceae
Exons: 3
Source: RefSeq, a predicted model, not a curated record